RNAcentral lists this long non-coding RNA (555 nucleotides) under Gallus gallus (chicken). Lineage: Eukaryota; Metazoa; Chordata; Aves; Galliformes; Phasianidae. The record is from RNAcentral.
CAGGAAAUCUUCCUAAAUGAGCAGCUCCAACAACUGCUGGAUGCAGUCUCUGAAGCACUUGGGACACAACCAGUCCUUGGAGUGGAUGGGUAGGGUCCAUUUCCUACGACACGACGUGGGAGCGGAACGGAGGAGGAGGAAGCUAGUGAAUUUGUCAUUCUUACCAUCUCUUGCUGUGUAAAUAUUUUGACCUGAUCAGUAAUGGCAAGGGAAGCAUGCAGAACCACAGGAAAUAGCUUACGUAAAGGAACUUUUUCAGCUCUGCCCUCCAUCCAAGUGAUUAGACUCUGAAAAGCCAUGAACACCAGGAAGGUUCAAGUCCAUCCAUCAACGCACCCGGCAUUACAUUUCAGUAUUUUUUAAAUUAAUCUUAUUAAUCUGUACAGGAUUUGUGAUGACAGACAAUAGAGCAGACAACAAAUUCCAACAGUCAAUACCAAGCAAAUUUUGUUUGGUAUUCUGUAUGGUAGCCAUAAGCAUUUCUUUUAGAUAAAUAACGCUAACAAGAGGCAAAGGUGAUUUUUUAAAAGAAGUAAAAUUGUUCUAGGAGUUGCU